AUUGAACGCUGGCGGCAUGCUUUACACAUGCAAGUCGAACGGUAACAGCACUUCGGUGGCCGACGAGUGGCGAACGGGUGAGUAAUACAUCGGAACGUGCCUAGUAGUGGGGGAUAACUACUCGAAAGAGUAGCUAAUACCGCAUGAGAUCUAAGGAUGAAAGCAGGGGACCUUCGGGCCUUGCGCUACUAGAGCGGCUGAUGGCAGAUUAGGUAGUUGGUGGGAUAAAAGCUUACCAAGCCGACGAUCUGUAGCUGGUCUGAGAGGACGACCAGCCACACUGGGACUGAGACACGGCCCAGACUCCUACGGGAGGCAGCAGUGGGGAAUUUUGGACAAUGGGCGCAAGCCUGAUCCAGCAAUGCCGCGUGCAGGAUGAAGGCCUUCGGGUUGUAAACUGCUUUUGUACGGAACGAAAAGCCCUCUUCUAAUACAGGAGGGUCAUGACGGUACCGUAAGAAUAAGCACCGGCUAACUACGU
This 481-nucleotide ribosomal RNA is filed under the name uncultured bacterium. Its description in RNAcentral is "partial 16S ribosomal RNA". It matches the Rfam family "Bacterial small subunit ribosomal RNA", at positions 30 to 506 of the family's 1533-position model. The record is from RNAcentral.